ACUGAUUUCUUUUGGUGUUCAGAGUCUUGGUCGAUUUCUAGCACCAUUUGAAAUCGGUUA
Molecule: microRNA precursor, 60 nt
Filed under: Callorhinchus milii (elephant shark)
Lineage: Eukaryota; Metazoa; Chordata; Chondrichthyes; Chimaeriformes; Callorhinchidae
Description: Cmi-Mir-29-P2d_pre stem-loop
Rfam family: mir-29 microRNA precursor family
About the family: This family represents the microRNA (miRNA) precursors mir-29.
Source: RNAcentral